Molecule: long non-coding RNA, 872 nt
Filed under: Equus asinus (donkey)
Lineage: Eukaryota; Metazoa; Chordata; Mammalia; Perissodactyla; Equidae
Description: lncRNA (ENSEASG00005031014.1)
Source: RNAcentral
CGCGCCUCCGCGGUGCGCAGAUGGCGGCGGGCGCAGCCACGGGAAGCCUCGCUCUGCUCUCCAGCGAUGCGCCCUGGCGCCCGGGCAGGGUGCCAUCUUUUAGGGACACCCAUUCCGGAACAAAGCAGGUGUCUGGCCAAUGAAAACACUCCAUCCUCAUGGUAAACCUGUGAGACAGACAUGACAUAAAGUUGUCCCAUUUGAUGAUGAAGGAAACAGAGGCUCCAAGUAGGUAACUGAUGCGCCCAGGAUCAUACAGAUUGUAAAGGAUGAAAACAGAACUCAAAUCCAAGGCUCUGAGAGACCUGGCCUCAUUAUCUCAUGCUACUGAACUGUCCCCUAUUCUAUAACUGGUGCAAUGAGAAACCCUGGGCUGCCCUCCAUGCAGGAGCAAGUCUUCUCCUCAGAGAGGAGUACAUAGACACUAUUAACAUCCCACAGGAAGUGGUGUUUGCACAGUGCUCCUUGAUUAACGAAUCUCCAGGGAACAAACCUUCUCUGUAGGAUGUGAGGCUGUGCUCAAAAAAACUUCAUAAAUCACGCAGCCACGCUACCUGGGCUGGCAGCGGCAUGCUGGCCACCCUCGGUGCAUGGCUCGUGUUUACAACCACCAUGCUGAAGGUGGUGAUGAGAACUGGAUCCUCCUCUUCUUAUUUUUCACAUCUGAUGAUUGGAAGAAUUUUCCAUGUAUUUCUCAAUGCAUUUUAGAAGGUAUUUCUCUUCCCUUCCCACAUAUGUCUGGUGUAGGUUGCAAAGGACACAGACACAUGGCACUAGCAUCUCUUGCCCUGCACCUGUAUGGGCCAGCAAAGUGGGCAAUAGGAGUAUUCCUGGAAGAUGUCCCUAGACCAGGAUAGUAAGCGAUAGUGGCA